This 60-nucleotide ribosomal RNA is filed under the name uncultured bacterium. Its description in RNAcentral is "partial 16S ribosomal RNA". The record is from RNAcentral.
UGGCCUUGACAUGCUCAGAACUUUCCAGAGAUGGAUUGGUGCCUUCGGGAACUCAGAGAC